UCCGAAUAGGCUGAAUGUAUGCCCAGCAACACUCUAGAACCCAUGUGGAUAUAGUUACUAUAUAAUUCAUCCCUUUAACACUUGAUGCUCAAGGAUGACUAAGGGUUAAACUAUCAACCCAGGAAGAGUGAUUUAUAUUAUGUCUCAAUCUUAAAAAUUUUGUGACUCUUCACUAAGAUUAUUUUGGCCAAAGUUUUGCUAAAUUGAAAUACAGUGAUGCAUCAUCUUCAAUUUUACUUGGAGCGAUCAAUUCCAUCUUGACUCGCACUCAGACUUUAUAAGUACUUGAUUGUACUUAAAAAUC
RNAcentral lists this long non-coding RNA (304 nucleotides) under Elaeis guineensis (African oil palm). RNAcentral's name for it is "long non-coding RNA (EGUI_LNC049734)". Lineage: Eukaryota; Viridiplantae; Streptophyta; Magnoliopsida; Arecales; Arecaceae. The record is from RNAcentral.